GAUUGUAAGCUGCAACUCGCCUACAUGAAGUCGGAAUUGCUAGUAAUGGCAGGUCAGCAUACUGCCGUGAAUACGUUCCCGGGCCUUGUACACACCGCCCGUCACACCAUGAGAGUUGGGAAUACCCGAAGCCUGUGAGCUAACGAAAGAGGCAGCAGUCGAAGGUAGAAUCAAUGAUUGGGGUGAAGUCGUAACAAGGUACC
This 203-nucleotide ribosomal RNA is filed under the name uncultured bacterium. RNAcentral's name for it is "partial 16S ribosomal RNA". It matches the Rfam family "Bacterial small subunit ribosomal RNA", at positions 1296 to 1500 of the family's 1533-position model. The record is from RNAcentral.